RNAcentral lists this ribosomal RNA (548 nucleotides) under uncultured bacterium. RNAcentral's name for it is "partial 16S ribosomal RNA". The record is from RNAcentral.
GGAGUUAGCCGGUGCUUCUUCUGUGAGUGAUGUCCUUCCUGCCGGCUAUUAACCCGCAGGCCUUCUUCCUCACUGAAAGUGCUUUACAACCCGAAGGCCUUCUUCACACACGCGGCAUGGCUGGAUCAGGGUUGCCCCCAUUGUCCAAUAUUCCCCACUGCUGCCUCCCGUAGGAGUCUGGGCCGUGUCUCAGUCCCAGUGUGGCUGAUCAUCCUCUCAGACCAGCUACGGAUCGUCGCCUUGGUGAGCCGUUACCUCACCAACCAGCUAAUCCGACAUAGGCUCAUCCGAUAGCGCGAGGCCCGAAGGUCCCCCGCUUUCCCCCGUAGGGCGUAUGCGGUAUUAGCCUGGGUUUCCCCAGGUUAUCCCCCACUACCCGGGAAGAUUCCUAUGCAUUACUCACCCGUCCGCCGCUCGCCACCAGGGAGCAAGCUCCCCGUGCUGCCGCUCGACUUGCAUGUGUUAGCGUCGCCGCCACGCGUUCAUCUGAGCCAGAUACAACUAACUACGUACGUACGAGACGGCGGUCGGCGACGGACGGCGACUAG